This 328-nucleotide long non-coding RNA is filed under the name Salvia miltiorrhiza (redroot sage). RNAcentral's name for it is "long non-coding RNA (SMIL_LNC001680)". The record is from RNAcentral. Lineage: Eukaryota; Viridiplantae; Streptophyta; Magnoliopsida; Lamiales; Lamiaceae.
CGGCAACAGGUUUGAAUCAUUGGGCUUCAGAUUAUAAUUCCGGACCGCCGUGGGAAGCACUAUCGCAGAAGUGCUAGUGGUCCCAAUAACUGGCCUGGAAAAAUCUCCCAUGUACUGGACAUUCUGCUCCGCCAUUGCUUCUUGGUCAGGAUUAGGCCGAGCUUCUUCUUUUUUCUUCUUCAGAAUGCACUGAAGGCGUAUCCUCAACGGCUUCCAGAAUGGGGUUGGAAGCGAUUCUCUCUUCACGGUCUUCCUCUCGAGACUGUGAUUCCACAAGGUUUCUCGAACUGGACUCGGACUCCUUCUCCAGGCUUGAAAGAACCUCCCG